RNAcentral lists this ribosomal RNA (480 nucleotides) under Zoothamnium hentscheli. RNAcentral describes it as "eukaryotic LSU rRNA". The stretch from base 132 to 277 matches the Rfam family "5.8S ribosomal RNA". The record is from RNAcentral. Lineage: Eukaryota; Ciliophora; Oligohymenophorea; Sessilida; Zoothamnidae.
GUAGGUGAACCUGCGGAAGGAUCAUUUAUAAUUCAUAAAUGUUCUUCUUGAACUAAUGUGCAAAAAGAAGGAAACUUCUUUUGUAUACCUAUUCAUAGGUUUAAAUGUUAAAUAACUUCCUAGAAAUCUUAAAUUUUCAACGAUGGAUAUCUAGGCUCCUAUAACGAUGAAGAACGCAGCGAAAUGCGAUACGCAAUGCGAAUUGCAGAACCGUGAGUCAUCAGAUUUUUGAACGCAAGUGGCGGCAGCUUCGGCUGUCAUGUUUGUUUCAGUGUGUUCGGUUAAUUACAUCGUAGAACUUAAUGUGAUUGAAGAAAUUCUCUCACCGAGUACGAGCUAGCGUCAGUGCGAGCAUUACACGAAUUAGUCACUAAUAUGGUGAUACUCGUGAAAGUGAUCAAGCUGUAGAAUCGUUAGCUAAUAACCGAAUAUCCAAUUAUAACACCUGAAAUAAGCAAGAAUACCCGCUGAACUUAAGCA